GAGUUUGAUCAUGGCUCAGAAUCAACGCUGGCGGCGUGCCUAACACAUGCAAGUCGAACGAGAAAGGGUAGCAAUACCUGAGUAAAGUGGCGCACGGGUGAGUAACACGUGACUAACCUACCCUGGAGUGGGGGAUAACCGAGGGAAACCUCAGCUAAUACCGCAUAACACCUACGGGUCAAAGGAGCAAUUCGCUUCAGGAGGGGGUCGCGGCCGAUUAGUUAGUUGGCGGGGUAAUGGCCCACCAAGACUGUGAUCGGUAUCCGGCCUGAGAGGGCGCACGGACACACUGGAACUGAAACACGGUCCAGACUCCUACGGGAGGCAGCAGUGGGGAAUUUUGCGCAAUGGGGGAAACCCUGACGCAGCAACGCCGCGUGGAGGAUGAAGUACUUCGGUACGUAAACUCCUUUCGAUCGGGACGAUAAUGACGGUACCGAGAGAAGAAGCCCCGGCUAACUUCGUGCCAGCAGCCGCGGUAAUACG
This 486-nucleotide ribosomal RNA is filed under the name uncultured eubacterium WR811. RNAcentral's name for it is "bacterial SSU rRNA". It matches the Rfam family "Bacterial small subunit ribosomal RNA", at positions 9 to 527 of the family's 1533-position model. The record is from RNAcentral.